UUUAUCCAUUCCCCAUUUUCGCGGUUCAAAUUUCUUAGUUUCAAGAGAUUACAUGCCGUAGGCAAAAUAAAGUGAAAUAUAAAUUCUGGAAUAGCUUCAUUGCUUUUCGUUCUGUUCAAACUUUUAAAACGGAAAAGUUUUGUGUAUCCUUUGUUUUCCAUUGGAAAUUUAAAUGAUUGGAUAACAUUUAUUCUAAUUUUGUGGCGUUGCCAUUUCCUAAAGUUUGUUUCAACUUUUAAGCAAUCGAAUAUAUAAACAUUUCAUUUAGCACUAAUAAUAUUUCAUUUCAUUUAAAGCUAAAGAAUAAAGUGAGAGCAUUGAAAUUGAAUUACUAAUAAAAAUUAAGUUUUUCAGUUUUCACGAUCGAAUUUUUUAGCAAGUAGUAGGCAACGUCUCACCUCAUGUGAAAGACAUGUCUAGACGUAUCCGGGUAUCCGCGGUUAAUUAGAAUAUUAGAUUCAAAUGUGAAAUGGUCGCCGAACUAGUAGGUUUUGCCGAGAUUCCAGGAUGUUAUUGAUUUCCAUAAACUGGAGAAAUGCUAUCAUCAAAUAUUCUGGGAAAACGAAUCUACCUUCAGGACGAUGUGGACCAGAUGUCACACAACUGGAACUUCUCCAAAACCUAGCACAACUUACGCUCCUUUACGAAGAAACAAAUUUCUCCGAGUUGUGGAAAAAUACGAUGGAAUUUGACGGUCGAGUUAUACCUACUAGUUCUGCCAGAAAAAAUAGUAUUGGAUCGAUAAAGAAGACAUUCAUCCGAGCCCAAUAGAAACCUGCUCUCGUUUGUGUCGACCACUGAUAAUGUGGACAAAAGGUUUAGAUCCUUAAGCAUUAUGGUUGUCGAUAUUAGCUUGGAAUCUACGUUUUUCACUUGGUCGGUUAUCUGGCUAAAAAGGACUUGUUCCACCAAAAACGAACCGGUUUCUAACUAGCGGUUAACUUUAUUUGGGCAAAAAUCGGAAAGGAUGACCGUUUCUUUCUGGAACACUUUGAACUGAUUUGAUACUGGUUGUUCGUUUUCGGGAACCUUUCUUCUAGUGGCAAGCCAGACUACUUUAUGCCAGAGAGGCAUGUACGAAUGGCGUUGAAAAUUGUGGCUUUUUGCAAAUGAUGUUGCAAAGUAGUUCUGUAAGACAAGCUCAUACGAACAGACUCGCGUUAAUGGAGCCCUGCGGGUUCCAUUGUUGUCUGGCAGAAGCUGCGAAAUCAAUAAUUCUCCAAAUCAAACCUAAUAAGCUGUCGGUUGCACAGGUGUUUUGUCGUCUUUUAAAGGUAGCCGUGAGCCGCUUUUCCAGGUUCGGCGGAUUGAAAGAAAAAGGUAUAAAUCCAUAUGGUUUUCCUAUCUGAAAUGUUUGUACUUUCUGUUGAUACCGCCUCCUAUGGACCGUGAAAACCUUCGUGGACUACUGGGUGGGAUGCACGGGCAGAGAAAACUGGCAACAACCGCAAAGAAAGUGAAGUAGAUGCACAGUGCAGUUCAGUAUACUGUUGUCUAUACAGAAGGAACCCAAAACGUUGCCGAAACACUGUACAAAUAAGAACAUGGAUGACGAAUGCUUCACUUCGUAAUUCUUAAAGGUAUCGUCGUUCGAAUGGAAGACUUUACUCAGAAAUGGGUGCUUCUUGAAAAUGUCACCAGGAAACAAUUUCCUUGGUGUAGUUUCGUCCGUCUUUUCGCUGACGUCCAGUAUCAAACCCAUUGUGUGCCCAAUCUAUCGUCAUUGAUGGAUGACCACGAAUCAACGGCCUUUUAAUCAAACAAUGGGUGGACCUUUCCGGUUGCGGAAUGAAAUUGAAAUAACGGACCGUAUGGUGGCAACGAAAGUAAAUGUAGGCACAGAUGCACUAAAAACGUUGACUUGAAAGUCUACAGUCACAAUUUCUGUGUCCUUUCCUGCAUCACGUGAUCCAUCAUCAUAUAAUCCAACAAGUGUCAUAAUAUUUCAAAAAAUAAAGUGCCAAGAAGAUUUCCUCCAACGAGAUCCCGACGUGCCUUGCUGGA
Molecule: long non-coding RNA, 2004 nt
Filed under: Daphnia magna
Lineage: Eukaryota; Metazoa; Arthropoda; Branchiopoda; Diplostraca; Daphniidae
Description: uncharacterized LOC116934101, transcript variant X5
Source: RNAcentral